RNAcentral lists this ribosomal RNA (2548 nucleotides) under Escherichia coli. RNAcentral's name for it is "partial 23S ribosomal RNA". It matches the Rfam family "Bacterial large subunit ribosomal RNA", at positions 398 to 2925 of the family's 2925-position model. The record is from RNAcentral. Lineage: Bacteria; Pseudomonadati; Pseudomonadota; Gammaproteobacteria; Enterobacterales; Enterobacteriaceae.
UGUGAGCUCGAUGAGUAGGGCGGGACACGUGGUAUCCUGUCUGAAUAUGGGGGGACCAUCCUCCAAGGCUAAAUACUCCUGACUGACCGAUAGUGAACCAGUACCGUGAGGGAAAGGCGAAAAGAACCCCGGCGAGGGGAGUGAAAAAGAACCUGAAACCGUGUACGUACAAGCAGUGGGAGCACAGAGCAAUCUGUGUGACUGCGUACCUUUUGUAUAAUGGGUCAGCGACUUAUAUUCUGUAGCAAGGUUAACCGAAUAGGGGAGCCGAAGGGAAACCGAGUCUUAACUGGGCGUUAAGUUGCAGGGUAUAGACCCGAAACCCGGUGAUCUAGCCAUGGGCAGGUUGAAGGUUGGGUAACACUAACUGGAGGACCGAACCGACUAAUGUUGAAAAAUUAGCGGAUGACUUGUGGCUGGGGGUGAAAGGCCAAUCAAACCGGGAGAUAGCUGGUUCUCCCCGAAAGCUAUUUAGGUAGCGCCUCGUGAAUUCAUCUCCGGGGGUAGAGCACUGUUUCGGCAAGGGGGUCAUCCCGACUUACCAACCCGAUGCAAACUGCGAAUACCGGAGAAUGUUAUCACGGGAGACACACGGCGGGUGCUAACGUCCGUCGUGAAGAGGGAAACAACCCAGACCGCCAGCUAAGGUCCCAAAGUCAUGGUUAAGUGGGAAACGAUGUGGGAAGGCCCAGACAGCCAGGAUGUUGGCUUAGAAGCAGCCAUCAUUUAAAGAAAGCGUAAUAGCUCACUGGUCGAGUCGGCCUGCGCGGAAGAUGUAACGGGGCUAAACCAUGCACCGAAGCUGCGGCAGCGACACUGUGUGUUGUUGGGUAGGGGAGCGUUCUGUAAGCCUGUGAAGGUGUGCUGUGAGGCAUGCUGGAGGUAUCAGAAGUGCGAAUGCUGACAUAAGUAACGAUAAAGCGGGUGAAAAGCCCGCUCGCCGGAAGACCAAGGGUUCCUGUCCAACGUUAAUCGGGGCAGGGUGAGUCGACCCCUAAGGCGAGGCCGAAAGGCGUAGUCGAUGGGAAACAGGUUAAUAUUCCUGUACUUGGUGUUACUGCGAAGGGGGGACGGAGAAGGCUAUGUUGGCCGGGCGACGGUUGUCCCGGUUUAAGCGUGUAGGCUGGUUUUCCAGGCAAAUCCGGAAAAUCAAGGCUGAGGCGUGAUGACGAGGCACUACGGUGCUGAAGCAACAAAUGCCCUGCUUCCAGGAAAAGCCUCUAAGCAUCAGGUAACAUCAAAUCGUACCCCAAACCGACACAGGUGGUCAGGUAGAGAAUACCAAGGCGCUUGAGAGAACUCGGGUGAAGGAACUAGGCAAAAUGGUGCCGUAACUUCGGGAGAAGGCACGCUGAUAUGUAGGUGAAGUCCCUCGCGGAUGGAGCUGAAAUCAGUCGAAGAUACCAGCUGGCUGCAACUGUUUAUUAAAAACACAGCACUGUGCAAACACGAAAGUGGACGUAUACGGUGUGACGCCUGCCCGGUGCCGGAAGGUUAAUUGAUGGGGUCAGCGCAAGCGAAGCUCUUGAUCGAAGCCCCGGUAAACGGCGGCCGUAACUAUAACGGUCCUAAGGUAGCGAAAUUCCUUGUCGGGUAAGUUCCGACCUGCACGAAUGGCGUAAUGAUGGCCAGGCUGUCUCCACCCGAGACUCAGUGAAAUUGAACUCGCUGUGAAGAUGCAGUGUACCCGCGGCAAGACGGAAAGACCCCGUGAACCUUUACUAUAGCUUGACACUGAACAUUGAGCCUUGAUGUGUAGGAUAGGUGGGAGGCUUUGAAGUGUGGACGCCAGUCUGCAUGGAGCCGACCUUGAAAUACCACCCUUUAAUGUUUGAUGUUCUAACGUGGACCCGUGAUCCGGGUUGCGGACAGUGUCUGGUGGGUAGUUUGACUGGGGCGGUCUCCUCCUAAAGAGUAACGGAGGAGCACGAAGGUUGGCUAAUCCUGGUCGGACAUCAGGAGGUUAGUGCAAUGGCAUAAGCCAGCUUGACUGCGAGCGUGACGGCGCGAGCAGGUGCGAAAGCAGGUCAUAGUGAUCCGGUGGUUCUGAAUGGAAGGGCCAUCGCUCAACGGAUAAAAGGUACUCCGGGGAUAACAGGCUGAUACCGCCCAAGAGUUCAUAUCGACGGCGGUGUUUGGCACCUCGAUGUCGGCUCAUCACAUCCUGGGGCUGAAGUAGGUCCCAAGGGUAUGGCUGUUCGCCAUUUAAAGUGGUACGCGAGCUGGGUUUAGAACGUCGUGAGACAGUUCGGUCCCUAUCUGCCGUGGGCGCUGGAGAACUGAGGGGGGCUGCUCCUAGUACGAGAGGACCGGAGUGGACGCAUCACUGGUGUUCGGGUUGUCAUGCCAAUGGCACUGCCCGGUAGCUAAAUGCGGAAGAGAUAAGUGCUGAAAGCAUCUAAGCACGAAACUUGCCCCGAGAUGAGUUCUCCCUGACCCUUUAAGGGUCCUGAAGGAACGUUGAAGACGACGACGUUGAUAGGCCGGGUGUGUAAGCGCAGCGAUGCGUUGAGCUAACCGGUACUAAUGAACCGUGAGGCUUAACCUU